UGGGCUGUAGCUCAGCAGCACAGUGCUUGCCUAGCAUGCAUGAGGAACUGGGUUCGAUCCUCAGCACCACAU
Molecule: transfer RNA, 72 nt
Filed under: Urocitellus parryii (Arctic ground squirrel)
Lineage: Eukaryota; Metazoa; Chordata; Mammalia; Rodentia; Sciuridae
Also listed under: 2 other names
Description: Spermophilus parryii (Arctic ground squirrel) tRNA
Rfam family: tRNA
About the family: Transfer RNA (tRNA) molecules are approximately 80 nucleotides in length. Their secondary structure includes four short double-helical elements and three loops (D, anti-codon, and T loops). Further hydrogen bonds mediate the characteristic L-shaped molecular structure. tRNAs have two regions of fundamental functional importance: the anti-codon, which is responsible for specific mRNA codon recognition, and the 3' end, to which the tRNAs corresponding amino acid is attached (by aminoacyl-tRNA synthetases). tRNAs cope with the degeneracy of the genetic code in two manners: having more than one tRNA (with a specific anti-codon) for a particular amino acid; and 'wobble' base-pairing, i.e. permitting non-standard base-pairing at the 3rd anti-codon position.
Source: Rfam by way of RNAcentral